GAGAAGAAUUUAAGAAUAAAAGAAACUGCUAAUAUCUUUAUCUAUGGUUAAACUCCAUAGUCUACUCA
This 68-nucleotide transfer RNA is filed under the name Ambystoma talpoideum (mole salamander). RNAcentral's name for it is "tRNA-Ser". Lineage: Eukaryota; Metazoa; Chordata; Amphibia; Caudata; Ambystomatidae. The record is from RNAcentral.